AUGAUGGGGUCUCUGGAAGGAGAGAGCUCCUAACCUCAGCCUUCGCAGCUAACCAGGACUAAGUACCUGCACAGUGUUGGAGAUGUUUGGCCUGGGUUCUGCCUCUGCUCUGCUGGCAGCCCCUACUUAACUUGGCAAGUCACAUCAUUUCUGAAAACCUUAGUGUUCUCCCAUGUAAGAUGUGGACAUUGGUGGCAUCUACUUUGGGCAUCAUCAGAAAGGAGCAGUGCUGUCUUCUUCCGCUGUGUUCCUCGUGGCAUUUCUGAUGCUGCUCCUCUGUUCCCUGAUUUAUGUGCUAUCUGAUGAGCUGUAGAAAACUUACUGCCUUCCUCUCAUGGAUAAGCAUGCCUUGGAACAAGCCACUUCUUCAGGCUCCUCUUGGGAGUAAAUGAUACUUUGAAGCCAAGAUCUGGUUGGGGGUGUGCAUUGCUCCUGGGGCUGCUGUUCCUUGGUCUUGCGGACAGAGCAAGAAAGCAAAAUUAUGGAUGCCAGGGACACAAAGUGAUGCUAGUGUUUGUUUCUGAGCCUGUUUGUGUAGUCACGGCCUCCAUUUCAAUUGGCCUUGAGAUUCAUCUAACUUCUCUUUCAUAAUGUUCCUCCUUUUUCAGCCAGUGAAAACCUGGCUUCUGUCAUCCUUGAUAUAUUCUUUUAUCUGUGUGAUCAUCUCUGUUGCUGCUAAUUAUUUUGUUUUGUAUUGGGUGUUUUCUGUGGUUUAGGCAAGCCUACAACUCAGGGUGAACACUGGGUUUGCAGGCAUGCACCAUUAAGCCAGUUUACUGUUCAUUCUUGACUUAUCAAGCUGCUGCCCACUCACACUGACUCCUGGUUUGAUCCUAGCUGUAUGUGCUGCCUUACUAUCAAGAAGGAAAACUGGAAGAAAAGAAAGGAGGGCAGGAGGAAGAAAACUGAAAGAAAGAGGGAAGGUAGGUAGAAGUCAGUGAACUCAAAUUCCAGGAUUUUGUUGGCUCUGCACCUGCCUAGAUGUCUUCACCUAUAUGAGAGGCAAGCAUAUUAGUAGGCAAUGCAUACCAAGAUAAAUGACUCUUUGAAAGUGUGAGGAUAUCUUUAUCUAUCAGAGGAUAUCUUUAUCCUCUGACUUGUGGCUCCUCAAAAGUGACAAUCAUGAAGGUUAGCAGUGUUCUUUGGAGCCUGGGCAUUUAGUUAUAAGCCCUUGAACAGUUGCUUAGUAGUUAUAAGCCUCUGAGCAAUAACUUCAUUUCUUUGUGACACUGUCUCCUCAUUUGUCAAAUGAUGAUAAAGGUAGUACUGUCCUGUAGAAGUGAUAGUACUAAAUCAGUUAACACAAAUAAAGCAUUCGAAUAACACCUAGGACUCAGUAAAUGUUAGUUUUAGGUGUCUGGUCUUUGCUGACUGUUGGAGAUGAUCUUCUAAGACUUCUUACUUCCAGGCAGCAAAGCCUCACACCAGGUCUGCACAAGCACUCAGGAGCACUCGGUGAAGAGCCAGUGAGAUGGGUUUCUGCUGCCUGCAAUGCUGCCUCCUGUUUCCUUACCUAGGAGUUUGUCCCCAGUCCCAGUUCUCUUUGCUGAUCUCUAGGAGUCAAUAUCUGUUCUCAAAAUCCCCCACCGCAGCUCCUAAGUCACUCUGUACAUCUCCUUGCCUGCUCCCAACACAGGGAAACUAUUAUUCUGUGUGCUGCGGUGCUGUGCUCUGGGUCCACCUGCAUUUACAAUGACUUCCUGCCAAGGCAAGAGUAUCUUUCUUCACAGAGACCUUCUGAGUUAGGAGAUUUCAGGCUAUCCUUCAAAUGGCAGACAGAGAAGACAAAGUAGACAACUAGCUUUGAGGUUUGGUGGUGCCACCUGUCAUGGGCUGAGCUGUUUCUCCUUGAAAAUUCCUUUGUCUAAACUGCCCCUCUCUUAAAAUGAGACUAUAUUAGGAAAGAAGGUCUCAAAGCAGUAACCAUGGUUAAAUAAGGUCAUUAGAGUGGCCAUCCCUUGGGAGGAAGAGGUGAGGAGAAGACACACACAAAGGAAGAAUCUAUGAUGACAUGGAGAAGUGGCCAUCCAUAAGCAAAGAAAGGCCUCCCUGGAAGGAAAUACUCAAGCCAACACUGUGACUGUAUAGUCUCAGCCUCCAGAGUAAUAUAGAAGGAAAAUCUGUUGGUGAAACCUCUCUAUUGGUGGUACUUUGUUUUGGCUGCCAGAGAAAACUAAUAUGCUACCUAACUCCUAUAUGAUCUUGGGAAACUUAACAUCUCUGAGCCUUUGGGAAUUUACUAUAUAAUAAGGAGUUUAGAGUCUCCUGGCUGUCAUAUCAUAUGCCUCUGAGGAUCUAUCCCAAGAGCACAUAACAGCUUUUUCAAUAUUAGCCCCAGAAAAAUUAAAGAGCUACUCUUGUUGGACUGAAGACAGUGAGAAGUCGCAGAGUCCUGUGACCAGUUACACAUCCUCAUUCACUUGGUUCCCUGCAAAGCAUUUGCCUGGUACAGCUGAAGAAUUCUGUAUAAGAAUGAGACUUUGUAAACUUAUUUCCUAAAUUCUAGUUCUAAAAUCCUGAUAUUUUGACUACAAUUGUCUCUUUUCAUUCUUCUAUUUUUAGCUAGUGAUUGUUUAGAUUUAUAUUAUUUAUGUGCUUAACAUUGAUUUUUGCUGUGCAGACAUACUAGGUACAAAACCAUGAUGAGGUUGUUGUUUGGCGGCUUGGGGUACUUGGGGUGCCAGUUAGUGCUCGUUCUGAUCUCCUUGUUCUCUAAAGGAAAUAGACACUAAACAGGAACCAUCUGGUAAUGCGUUCUGCACCUCUUAAUUACAAUGUUUUGAGUGGCACCUAAAUAAAUUUCAUUUACAAGCACAUGACUGCUUGUCAAAACUCUGUUGAUAAUUUUAUUAUUGUAAUAUACUUUCUUCCUUAAUUAUUUAGUUCCAGUAAAGUCAGGAAUAUUAAUUUUUAUGGAAAUUACCUGGACCAACAAACCUAAGCCACA
Cavia porcellus (domestic guinea pig) is the source of this 2947-nucleotide long non-coding RNA. RefSeq lists it as uncharacterized. The record is from RefSeq and is a predicted model, not a curated record. The transcript is spliced from 3 exons. NCBI's taxonomy places the organism in Eukaryota, Metazoa, Chordata, Mammalia, Rodentia, Caviidae.